This 460-nucleotide ribosomal RNA is filed under the name uncultured bacterium. RNAcentral describes it as "bacterial SSU rRNA". It matches the Rfam family "Bacterial small subunit ribosomal RNA", at positions 338 to 795 of the family's 1533-position model. The record is from RNAcentral.
CCUACGGGUGGCUGCAGUGAGGAAUAUUGGACAAUGGGCGCAAGCCUGAUCCAGCCAUGCCGCGUGCAGGAUGACGGUCCUAUGGAUUGUAAACUGCUUUUGCACAGGAAGAAACAUCCCGACGUGUCGGGACUUGACGGUACUGUGAGAAUAAGGAUCGGCUAACUCCGUGCCAGCAGCCGCGGUAAUACGGAGGAUCCAAGCGUUAUCCGGAAUCAUUGGGUUUAAAGGGUCCGUAGGCGGUCUUAUAAGUCAGUGGUGAAAUCUCCCCGCUCAACGGGGAAACGGCCAUUGAUACUGUAGGACUUGAAUUAUUAGGAAGUAACUAGAAUAUGUAGUGUAGCGGUGAAAUGCUUAGAGAUUACAUGGAAUACCAAUUGCGAAGGCAGGUUACUACUAAUGGAUUGACGCUGAUGGACGAAAGCGUGGGUAGCGAACAGGAUUAGAUACCCCUGUAGUC